RNAcentral lists this ribosomal RNA (359 nucleotides) under uncultured bacterium. Its description in RNAcentral is "bacterial SSU rRNA". It matches the Rfam family "Bacterial small subunit ribosomal RNA", at positions 445 to 793 of the family's 1533-position model. The record is from RNAcentral.
AAGAACACGUAUGAGAGUAACUGUUCAUACGUUGUACGGUAGUUUAACCAGAAAGUCACGGCUAACUACGUGCCAGCAGCCGCGGUAAUACGUAGGUGGCAAGCGUUAUCCGGAUUUAUUGGGCGUAAAGAGAGUGCAGGCGGUUUUCUUAAGUCUGAUGUGAAAGCCUUCGGCUUAACCGGAGAAGUGCAUCGGAAACUGGAUAACUUGAGUGCAGAAGAGGGUAGUGGAACUCCAUGUGUAGCGGUGGAAUGCGUAGAUAUAUGGAAGAACACCAGUGGCGAAGGCGGCUACCUGGUCUGCAACUGACGCUGAGACUCGAAAGCAUGGGUAGCGAACAGGAUUAGAUACCCUGGUAG